Molecule: unclassified non-coding RNA, 542 nt
Filed under: Bombus terrestris (buff-tailed bumblebee)
Lineage: Eukaryota; Metazoa; Arthropoda; Insecta; Hymenoptera; Apidae
Description: misc RNA ENSBTSG00005025332.1
Source: RNAcentral
UACCGGCAGAGUACGUUGUGUUGUCGGCCUACUGACGCCUUGUUGUUUUACCGACAUAAGCAAUUCUUUAUCUCUCGCUUCUUCGUAUAUGACACCCAAGAUCCAGGUAUACGAACGCAAGCUCCGUUGUUAAUCUCAAUAUCAACAUCCAUCAAGAAGAAGCUGCAUCUUCACGUAGACCAGCAUCUGACGUACAGCGAUGAGGAGGGUAUAAAAGGAUCUGUAUUACUAGGCCUGACUCAUUUUUUCAUUGCGAAACCUCUUGAAGAUACUAUUCAGACGACGAAGUAGAGAUAAAUAGAAAUUAUAAAUUUAGUGCUCGUAAAUUUGAGUUGCAAAGAGGACCACCUCGUAACUCUUGAAUGACAGAAGUGAGGAGAUCCGCACGCUGUGGAAACAAUUCUGUACCUUAGUUUUAGUUAUUACUAAUAGCCCAAUGUCGCAGACGCAUUACAUCGAUCGUAAGAGUCAGUUGCGGAAACCUGAACUGUGGGAGAGCCACCCAGAAUAACUGAGGACACAUAUCGUCACACCCGUCGUAG